CCUACGGGGGGCAGCAGUGGGGAAUAUUGGGCAAUGGGCGCAAGCCUGACCCAGCAACGCCGCGUGAAGGAAGAAGGCUUUCGGGUUGUAAACUUCUUUUCUCAGGGACGAAGAAAGUGACGGUACCUGAGGAAUAAGCCACGGCUAACUACGUGCCAGCAGCCGCGGUAAUACGUAGGUGGCAAGCGUUAUCCGGAUUUACUGGGUGUAAAGGGCGUGUAGGCGGGGAAGCAAGUCAGAUGUGAAAACCACGGGCUCAACCUGUGGCCUGCAUUUGAAACUGGUUUUCUGGAGUACUGGAGAGGCAGACGGAAUUCCUGGUGUAGGGGUGAAAUGCGUAGAGAUUAGGAGGAACACCAGUGGCGAAGGCGAUCUGCUGGA
RNAcentral lists this ribosomal RNA (381 nucleotides) under uncultured bacterium. Its description in RNAcentral is "partial 16S ribosomal RNA". It matches the Rfam family "Bacterial small subunit ribosomal RNA", at positions 338 to 733 of the family's 1533-position model. The record is from RNAcentral.